This 777-nucleotide ribosomal RNA is filed under the name uncultured Neocallimastigales. RNAcentral's name for it is "partial large subunit ribosomal RNA". It matches the Rfam family "Eukaryotic large subunit ribosomal RNA", at positions 24 to 628 of the family's 3401-position model. Lineage: Eukaryota; Fungi; Neocallimastigomycota; Neocallimastigomycetes; Neocallimastigales. The record is from RNAcentral.
GUAGUCUCGCACAGAUGCAUAUCAAUAAGCGGAGGAAAAGAAACUAACAAGGAUUCCCCUUAGUAACGGCGAGUGAAGCGGGAAGAGCUCAAAUUUGAAAUCUUCAAGGGUUUACCUUUACGAAUUGUAGUUUAAAGAAGUGUUUUCUGUUGAGGUUUUGGUAAAAGUUCUUUGGAAUAGGACAUCAUAGAGGGUGAGAAUCCCGUAUUUGACCUUUACUUUCAACUUUGUGAUACACUUUCAAAGAGUCGGAUUGUUUGGGAAUGCAGUCCAAAAUGGGUGGUAAAUUUCAUCUAAAGCUAAAUAUUGGCGAGAGACCGAUAGCGAACAAGUACCGUGAGGGAAAGAUGAAAAGAACUUUGAAAAGAGAGUUAAACAGUACGUGAAAUUGUCAAAAGGGAAGCGUUUGACACCAGUGUUGUUUUUCUGAAAAUCAAUUAAAGAACUGUUUAUGCUAAGUUGUUUAGACUUUAUCAGCUAACUGUUUAGUUUUGAGCUUUUCUUUAAUGCACUUUUCAGUUAACUAAGUCAACAUCAAUUUCUUUUGCUGUAAAAAAGCUUGAGGAAGGUGGCUUGAGAUUCGUCUUAAGUGUUUAUAGCCUCUUGCCUAUGCAGUCGGAGAGAUUGAGGUCUGCAGCGUAGAUCCUUCGGGGCUAAAUGCAUUUGUGCUAAGUUAUAGCAUUUUAUAGACAACUUGUUGACUAUGAUUUGUCUUGUAGGCUUACUCGCUUAUGUUAUUUUACCUACGCUUAGGAUGUUGAUGUGAUACUGCGAGCA